RNAcentral lists this non-coding RNA (23 nucleotides) under Cricetulus griseus (Chinese hamster). Lineage: Eukaryota; Metazoa; Chordata; Mammalia; Rodentia; Cricetidae. The record is from RNAcentral.
AGUGAUCUUGAGCCUUUCCUAGU